This 494-nucleotide ribosomal RNA is filed under the name uncultured bacterium. RNAcentral's name for it is "bacterial SSU rRNA". It matches the Rfam family "Bacterial small subunit ribosomal RNA", at positions 27 to 518 of the family's 1533-position model. The record is from RNAcentral.
GGACGAACGCUGGCGGCGUGCCUAACACAUGCAAGUCGAGCGGAGAUGAUGUGAGGAAGUUUUCGGAUGGAAUCACAUUAUUUAGCGGCGGACGGGUGAGUAACGCGUGAGCGACCAACCUUGCACAGGGGGAUAACGGACCGAAAGGUUCACUAAUACCGCAUGAGACCACGGUGUUGCAUGACACAGAGGUCAAAGGAGAGAUCCGGUGCAAGACGGGCUCGCGUCCGAUUAGGUAGUUGGAGGGGUAACGGCCCACCAAGCCUAUGAUCGGUAGCCGACCUGAGAGGGUGAUCGGCCACAUUGGAACUGGGAUACGGUCCAAACUCCUACGGGAGGCAGCAGUGGGGAAUAUUGGGCAAAUGGGGGAAACCCUGACCCAGCAACGCCGCGUGAAGGAAGAAGGUUUUCGGAUUGUAAACUUCUGUCCUUGGUGAAGAGAAGAAGACGGUAGCCAAGGAGGAAGCCCCGGCUAACUACGUGCCAGCAGCGGC